AACGCACCUUGCGCUCCCUAGUAUUCUGGGGAGCAUGUCUGUUUGAGUGUCAUGAACUCUUCAACCCACCAGUUUCUUGUAGACUGGCUGGUGUUUGGAUUUUGAACGUUGCUGGUCUUCGGACGUAGCUCGUUCGUAAUACAUUAGCAUCUCUAAUUCGAAUUCGGAUUGACUCAGUGUAAUAGACUAUUCGCUGAGGACACUUUUAUUAGUGGCCGAACAAGAUAAUUGUAGAAGCUUCAAACCUCUAUAGUCAAUUUUAGAUUAGACCUCAAAUCAGGCAGGAUUACCCGCUGAACUUAA
Molecule: unclassified non-coding RNA, 303 nt
Filed under: uncultured Leucosporidiales
Lineage: Eukaryota; Fungi; Basidiomycota; Microbotryomycetes; Leucosporidiales
Description: sequence contains ITS2
Rfam family: 5.8S ribosomal RNA (bases 1-52)
Source: RNAcentral